Molecule: ribosomal RNA, 1014 nt
Filed under: Neofusicoccum mangiferae
Lineage: Eukaryota; Fungi; Ascomycota; Dothideomycetes; Botryosphaeriales; Botryosphaeriaceae
Description: SSU rRNA
Rfam family: Eukaryotic small subunit ribosomal RNA
Source: RNAcentral
CCGUGAAACUGCGAAUGGCUCAUUAAAUCAGUUAUCGUUUAUUUGAUAGUACCUUACUACUUGGAUAACCGUGGUAAUUCUAGAGCUAAUACAUGCUAAAAACCUCGACUUCGGAAGGGGUGUAUUUAUUAGAUAAAAAACCAAUGCCCUUCGGGGCUCCUUGGUGAUUCAUGAUAACUUAACGAAUCGCAUGGCCUUGCGCCGGCGAUGGUUCAUUCAAAUUUCUGCCCUAUCAACUUUCGAUGGUAGGAUAGUGGCCUACCAUGGUAUCAACGGGUAACGGGGAAUUAGGGUUCUAUUCCGGAGAGGGAGCCUGAGAAACGGCUACCACAUCCAAGGAAGGCAGCAGGCGCGCAAAUUACCCAAUCCCGACACGGGGAGGUAGUGACAAUAAAUACUGAUACAGGGCUCUUUUGGGUCUUGUAAUUGGAAUGAGUACAAUUUAAAUACCUUAACGAGGAACAAUUGGAGGGCAAGUCUGGUGCCAGCAGCCGCGGUAAUUCCAGCUCCAAUAGCGUAUAUUAAAGUUGUUGCAGUUAAAAAGCUCGUAGUUGAACCUUGGGCCUGGCUGGCCGGUCCGCCUCACCGCGUGUACUGGUCCGGCCGGGCCUUUCCUUCUGGGGAUCCUCAUGCCCUUCACUGGGUGUGCUGGGGAACCAGGACUUUUACUUUGAAAAAAUUAGAGUGUUCAAAGCAGGCCUUUGCUCGAAUACAUUAGCAUGGAAUAAUAGAAUAGGACGUGCGGUCCUAUUUUGUUGGUUUCUAGGACCGCCGUAAUGAUUAAUAGGGAUAGUCGGGGGCAUCAGUAUUCAAUUGUCAGAGGUGAAAUUCUUGGAUUUAUUGAAGACUAACUACUGCGAAAGCAUUUGCCAAGGAUGUUUUCAUUAAUCAGUGAACGAAAGUUAGGGGAUCGAAGACGAUCAGAUACCGUCGUAGUCUUAACCGUAAACUAUGCCGACUAGGGAUCGGGCGAUGUUAUUCUUUUGACUCGCUCGGCACCUUACGAGAAAUCAA